Molecule: non-coding RNA, 29 nt
Filed under: Mus musculus (house mouse)
Lineage: Eukaryota; Metazoa; Chordata; Mammalia; Rodentia; Muridae
Source: RNAcentral
UGAGACAAUGAGAUGACCUCCAUCCUUAC